This is a non-coding RNA of Tribolium castaneum (red flour beetle), 76 nucleotides long. The record is from RefSeq and is marked provisional. Lineage: Eukaryota; Metazoa; Arthropoda; Insecta; Coleoptera; Tenebrionidae.
GUUGUCUGUGAAAUAUCAGCUGGUAAUUCUGGGUUGAUGAGAUCCCAGAAUAUCGACUGAUAUUAUCAUAAACAAC